Molecule: long non-coding RNA, 2172 nt
Filed under: Anas platyrhynchos platyrhynchos (common mallard)
Lineage: Eukaryota; Metazoa; Chordata; Aves; Anseriformes; Anatidae
Description: lncRNA (ENSAPLG00000022781.1)
Source: RNAcentral
UAGCCCCUUUUUAAUAACUAAAUUAUGUACCUAAUUUCUCCUUUUUUUUUUUUUUUUUUUUUUUCCCCGUCCUGUGGUUUCCAUAUAUAUUUUAUCCUGAAGGAAAUACUUAAAAGCCUUUUCUAAACUGAAAAUUUCUGAUCUAUAACUUCUCCACAGGAUCAUAUUUCAUUUGGAGGCAUUCAUCUCUUUUUUUCCCAAGGCUUUUAGCUCAUUUUCGUCAGAUCAAUAAGAGUAGUUGUAAUCAAUAAAUACAUAUAAGGGUUGUGCCUAUACCACCAUGUCUGCAGCAUCGUGUCAAUGUAUCCAAGAUAAUGUCAGACUACCAGCUCCGUUUUCAAUGUCUGUAAAGUGAAAAUUUGUUAUUUGAGAGCUUUUAGUGUAAAGGUAUCAUGGGUAUGUCUAAACUACCCUUCCAUCAUAAUCAUCUCAUAGCAGUAACUGUAGCAGUGGUAUAAACAUGAAUGGAAAAUAAUGAAGUUUUAUAUUCAAUGCUGUUUGAUUACCUAUAAGUGCAUGUAGCAAGGUAAGAUAGAAGUACCUAUGAUGACAUUUUGUUUUCUUAGAUUUGAAGAUUGCCCUCUCUCACUACUUAAACUCAGGAUGAAUGCCAAAAUAUUCUCUUUGUGGACUAGGAAACUCCUACUUCAUCAGCAUUUGAACUGUGAUCGAACUAUUCUGAGCAUCUCUGAGAAGAGCUCUUCUCCCUAAUGACCUCUUGUUCUGAAUUAAAGCAUUAAAUCAUAUAUCCAAAAUGAAAAUGUGAAAUUAAAAUUUAAAUGGGAAAAAAAAAAAAAUCCCCCCUUUCAUUUUCCUUUCUCCUUAUUUGUGGGUUGUUGCUGUUGUUUUCUUGGAAAAGUAAUGCUUUUUGCUGAGUGAAGAUGAUGAAUCAUAGAAGCUUUUCCAUCUGGAGAGGCUUUACUGUUCCAAAUCUCCAGACUUGCAUUGCUCUUCUCCAUUAUAUUAAAGGCACAAAACCAUUUUAACAGACACUGUAGGUUUAUUUCAGUUAAGGGGGAUUCUCUGAUGAUGGAGAUCUGCCAUAGUAAUGUGUUGGCCUCCCGACAUCCUUUUGGCAUAGAAGAUGCACAUGUGAAAAAGGAUGUAAUUCUGACUUCCCUCUAUUUCACUAGCAUAUGGAUGCUAAAAUGCAUUGUUGAAGUAAUUGGCUAGGGGCAAAAAGUGAAAAUGCGCAAGGGCUGUUCUAACUUAAGACAAGAACUAACAUUUGUGUAGACUUAGAAGACAUUCAAAAAUGUGGUACAAUUUUUUAUUUUAUUUUUUCCCAUAAAUGAUUGCAACUCUUCCUUGGGCAAACUCUACAGUGAAAUAUAAUGCAGAAAUCAAGAUGGAAUAAGGAUGAAAGAUAUUUCCUUACUACAUCCUGAGACUUCAAAACAAGGACAAAGAAGCAGAAAAGCAGCUGAAAGGCUUGAGUUCCUGAGAUUUGGCUUGUACUAAGAUGUAAUAUGAUGGUUCCCUGCACUAUAAUCCCACUGCUGGAAGUAUUUCUGUUAUGUUUUUGAUGAAACUGUAAUUAAUUCAUUACAGGCUUGACAACCAAUUUUUUUUUUCUGUCUUUUAGACACAUCUUUGUCCUGUACAGGGACAGGUGGAGAGAAUUAAAUGGGAGAAAAUAAUAUGUAAAAAUUAUUUAGAUAGAGAAUGAUUAUCCAUCAUAUAUUUAAUACAAACAUCCUUUUUUUUUUUUUUUUUAAGGCACCUUUUAACUGAAAUCUGUUAGAGAGUUCCUUACAGAGAUGUGAAACUCAAAAUGAGCCAUUACAGUGCUGUUACUACCUGGUAUUUAUUAUUACUUCUGCAAUUUCCAUCUUACAUUUGUUUAAACAUAUUUUUUUUUAAGGAAAAAAAAUAAUGAUAAAAAAUAAUAGUUGAUGUGGUUGGUGGGUAAAUGGCCCAGAAAACUUCUAGCUAUCUGUCCCAAAUGAUACUAGUGACAGAGAUGUGGAAGAACAACCCUCAGUGUGUCUUAACAACUGAAGUGUUUUCCAAGUUAUUCCAACUAUUUUUGCAAUCAAUAACUUCUGGACUGUACUGCUGAAGCACAGCACAUAAGCUUACAUGGUUUACAUCUGUUUCAAGCAGGUUUAUUUAAGUAUAGCCAUAGAGGUUGAAAGACAGAGCAAUAAAUGCCCCAGUCUUGCAAUUACA